CCCUUCGGGGUACACGAGCGGCGAACGGGUGAGUAACACGUGGGUGAUCUGCCUCGCACUUCGGGAUAAGCCUGGGAAACUGGGUCUAAUACCGGAUAUGACCUGCUGUCGCAUGGCGGUGGGUGGAAAGAUUUAUCGGUGCGAGAUGGGCCCGCGGCCUAUCAGCUUGUUGGUGGGGUAAUGGCCUACCAAGGCGACGACGGGUAGCCGGCCUGAGAGGGCGACCGGCCACACUGGGACUGAGACACGGCCCAGACUCCUACGGGAGGCAGCAGUGGGGAAUAUUGCACAAUGGGCGAAAGCCUGAUGCAGCGACGCCGCGUGAGGGAUGACGGCCUUCGGGUUGUAAACCUCUUUCGACAGGGACGAAGCGCAAGUGACGGUACCUGUAGAAGAAGCACCGGCCAACUACGUGCCAGCAGCCGCGGUAAUACGUAGGGUGCGAGCGUUGUCCGGAAUUACUGGGCGUAAAGAGCUUGUAGGCGGUUUGUCGCGUCGUCCGUGAAAACUUGGGGCUCAACCCCAAGCUUGCGGGCGAUACGGGCAGACUUGAGUACUGCAGGGGAGACUGGAAUUCCUGGUGUAGCGGUGAAAUGCGCAGAUAUCAGGAGGAACACCGGUGGCGAAGGCGGGUCUCUGGGCAGUAACUGACGCUGAGAAGCGAAAGCGUGGGUAGCGAACAGGAUUAGAUACCCUGGUAGUCCACGCCGUAAACGGUGGGCGCUAGGUGUGGGUUUCCUUCCACGGGAUCCGUGCCGUAGCUAACGCAUUAAGCGCCCCGCCUGGGGAGUACGGCCGCAAGGCUAAAACUCAAAGGAAUUGACGGGGGCCCGCACAAGCGGCGGAGCAUGUGGAUUAAUUCGAUGCAACGCGAAGAACCUUACCUGGGUUUGACAUACACCGGAAACCUGCAGAGAUGUAGGCCCCCUUGUGGUCGGUGUACAGGUGGUGCAUGGCUGUCGUCAGCUCGUGUCGUGAGAUGUUGGGUUAAGUCCCGCAACGAGCGCAACCCUUGUCCUGUGUUGCCAGCGGAUUAUGCCGGGGACUCGCAGGAGACUGCCGGGGUCAACUCGGAGGAAGGUGGGGACGACGUCAAGUCAUCAUGCCCCUUAUGUCCAGGGCUUCACACAUGCUACAAUGGCCGGUACAGAGGGCUGCGAUACCGUGAGGUGGAGCGAAUCCCUUAAAGCCGGUCUCAGUUCGGAUCGGGGUCUGCAACUCGACCCCGUGAAGUUGGAGUCGCUAGUAAUCGCAGAUCAGCAACGCUGCGGUGAAUACGUUCCCGGGCCUUGUACACACCGCCCGUCACGUCAUGAAAGUCGGUAACACCCGAAGCCGGUGGCCUAACCCCUUGUGGGAGGGAGCCGUCG
Molecule: ribosomal RNA, 1370 nt
Filed under: Nocardia asiatica
Lineage: Bacteria; Bacillati; Actinomycetota; Actinomycetes; Mycobacteriales; Nocardiaceae
Also listed under: 1 other name
Description: bacterial SSU rRNA
Rfam family: Bacterial small subunit ribosomal RNA
Source: RNAcentral